Molecule: ribosomal RNA, 253 nt
Filed under: uncultured bacterium
Lineage: Bacteria
Description: partial 16S ribosomal RNA
Rfam family: Bacterial small subunit ribosomal RNA
Source: RNAcentral
UACGAGGGGGGCAAGCGUUGUUCGGAAUUAUUGGGCGUAAAGGGCGCGUAGGCGGUGUCGCAAGUCCGUGGUGAAAUCUCUAGGCUCAACUUAGAGACUGCCGCGGAAACUGCGGUGCUUGAGUGCGGGAGAGGUGCGUGGAAUUGCAGGUGUAGCGGUGAAAUGCGUAGAUAUCUGCAGGAACACCCGUGGCGAAAGCGGCGCGCUGGACCACUACUGACGCUGAGGAACGAAAGCUAGGGGAGCAAACAGG